UAACUUAAGCAACCGGGACAUUGAGAUCUCGGAUAUCGUCACACACCCAUCUCUUGCUCUCCGUGCCGGUAACCAUAAAAUCCAGGAGCUGAGUCACACGUGCUGUGAAUGAGGAUCACACCAGUACCUGCCGCACAGGGCUGCUAAGAGGACCACACACGCGAAAAUCGGGAAAGCGCACGGCACGGUACAUGGCACUUAGCACAGUGUCCCUCUUAUGAACUUGUCGGAAAUAGCAAGGCUAGUCAGAGGGCAUAAAACAUAGAGAAAAGAAGUAUCAUGAAGCCACUGAAAGAAUUCUCAGGGACACUGAGAACUCCUCCCUGUUCCCAAAGAACUGCUGUGGCUCCGAGCUCUGCCUUGCGUUCUCCCGGUCUGAUAAGCGUGGGGUGUGCAUCAGCAGGACACACACCUGAAAGACAAGGUUUGGUCACCUCUGUCUGCUGAGCUGUGGUUGUGUUCCCACCGCUACUCGUCAGCUCAUUCGGCAAGAAGCUCGGUGGAGUCUGGGCUUCGAGUGAUGAGGUCGGUCUCCCCAAACCCCCAUUCUCAUUUACUGCCACUGCUCAGAGAAGAUGGCCAUAAAACCUCAGGCUGUCCCCCUGAACUCGACUUGGCUCUUGAACUGAAAGGCCUAGAACAGAGGGAGGCAGGAGCAUCAGUGGAGCCAAGCCCUCGAGACCUCUUUCACUGGCUAGAGGAGGCAUCGCCUUGGACAGAACUCUGCAAGGCACGGUGAGGUCCCAGGUCCCUUUCUGGUUCCUUCCAUCACAGACUCUGCCAGUGAAUCAAGUUCCUAGGGAAGGUUUUGAGGGCCUAUGGGAUUUUCAUCUGUCCCGUUCCAUCUGUCCUGUUCAUCCGUUCCCGUUCCCCAGUGCUCAGAACAGCAGCACGUCCCUGCGAAUGAAUGAAUGCCCACCAUAUUCGGAGGGCUCUAGCCUCUGCAUCUUCCCGAGACAAACCGAAGCCAUCGGCCUCGCGGAUUCCACGGUCAUUCACUGAACAAACCAGCUGUGUGGGAUCCUCCCGCCAUUGCUCUGCUUUCCAUCCCCCCACCUGUCACCUUAGCUGGUAGGUGUCCCCUCUGGGUCUCUGACAGCUUCCCUUUGGAAAGGCCUGCCCUAUUCUCUCCUCUUGGAGGAAGAGAGGGUCACUCGCUGCAGAGCACUGAGCAAGAAGGUCAGCUCAUGCCGAGAAUACAACUUGCUCCUUUUGGACUUAGCCUGCCAGAAGCGGAAAUGUUAGAGCUAGAAGCACCUCUGGAAAUCACUCUCAUGGAAGACACGCAGAAACCAAGCUCACGGAGCUGGCCGCAGGGACAGCGGGAGACUGGGCCUCUAUGCAGAAGCUCGCUGUAUGGCCCUUUCCCUCGGGCCCCCCCUCUACCUUGUGUAGGUAAGGAAGUUUUGGAAAGCGCCUAUAAAUCCUGCAUUCUCUGUCUACGUAUUAAAAACAUGAAAUAUUCCCACUGUA
Long non-coding RNA from Lutra lutra (Eurasian river otter), 1473 nucleotides. RefSeq lists it as uncharacterized. The transcript is spliced from 2 exons. NCBI's taxonomy places the organism in Eukaryota, Metazoa, Chordata, Mammalia, Carnivora, Mustelidae. The record is from RefSeq and is a predicted model, not a curated record.